GCCUGGGUGGCUCAGUCGGUUAAGCGACUGACUUCGGCUCAGGUCAUGAUCUCAGCGUCCGUGAGUUCGAGCCCCACAUCGGGCU
Molecule: transfer RNA, 85 nt
Filed under: Felis catus (domestic cat)
Lineage: Eukaryota; Metazoa; Chordata; Mammalia; Carnivora; Felidae
Rfam family: tRNA
About the family: Transfer RNA (tRNA) molecules are approximately 80 nucleotides in length. Their secondary structure includes four short double-helical elements and three loops (D, anti-codon, and T loops).
Source: Rfam by way of RNAcentral